AAUCAUGCGCAAUGGGCGAAAGCCUGACGCAGCCAUGCCGCGUGAAUGAUGAACGUCCCAGGAGUUUAAAAUUCUUUCACCGGGGACGGUAAUGCCGGCUCCCGGUGAAGAAGCCCAGGCUAACUUCGUUCCAGCAGCCGCGGUAAUACGAAGGGGGCUAGCGUUGCUCGGAAUUCCUGCGCGUAAAGGGCGCGUAGGCGGAUCGUUAAGUCAGAGGUGAAAUCCCGGGGCUCAACCUCGGAAUUGCCCUUGAUACUGGCGAUCUUGAGUAUGAGAGAGGUAUGUGGAACUCCGAGUGUAGAGGUGAAAUUCGUAGAUAUUCGGAAGAACACCAGUGGCGAAGGCGACAUACUGGCUCAUUACUGACGCUGAGGCGCGAAAGCGUGGGGAGCAAACA
RNAcentral lists this ribosomal RNA (397 nucleotides) under uncultured bacterium. Its description in RNAcentral is "partial 16S ribosomal RNA". It matches the Rfam family "Bacterial small subunit ribosomal RNA", at positions 360 to 774 of the family's 1533-position model. The record is from RNAcentral.